GACACGAAAAGGUUCAUGGAGAAGAUAAUGAAGACGAUAAAGAACACAAAUGCGUAUGUGAAAUUGAAGUUAGGUUAAAAUACAGAUAAGGUAAAAAGUUCAUACAUUUCCUUUCUUUCUCAUAUGGGUUUGCUACAUUGCUACCGGCACCAGAAUCGGAAUAAAUUAAAGUGAUCAGUAUCUAACAGGUAACGAGCAAUGAGUUGAGUAGAAGCUAAUGCUUGGAGUCUAGUGUAGUCUCCCUAGUGGGUCAUGCUCUGAUAGAUGUAACAUCGGGAGGGAACAUUUUAAUAUUGUUGUUGAUGAUUGUU
Lathyrus oleraceus (garden pea) is the source of this 311-nucleotide long non-coding RNA. RefSeq lists it as uncharacterized. NCBI's taxonomy places the organism in Eukaryota, Viridiplantae, Streptophyta, Magnoliopsida, Fabales, Fabaceae. The record is from RefSeq and is a predicted model, not a curated record. The transcript has 3 exons.